CAUGAUGUUUAGGUGUAUAUCCUUAAGCCAUGGUCUUGUCACCUUAGGUCGAUCGGUACCUCAGAUCAAUUUUCAGACUUUGAAUUAAUUUCGAUAACUGGAGAUAGGUUUCAGUUCCUAAACUUUGUCUAGGUCACACCCAACAAGGGUAAUCCUGGGCCAUUAGCUCAGGUGGUUAGAGCGCACCCCUGAUAAGGGUGAGGUCCCUGGUUCAAGUCCAGGAUGGCCCAUUCCAUUCAGUUUUGGGGGUAUAGCUCAGUUGGUAGAGCGCCUGCUUUGCAAGCAGGAUGUCAGCGGUUCGAGUCCGCUUACCUCCACUGAUCUAACUCCUUGAUUGAAAUUACGGAGGGAUCCUUUGUAACUUGUGACUUAGAUUUUUUGUCCGCUAGGCGAACCUAGCUUCCUAUCAUUCCAGUUUUUAGUAAGGCUGACAGGACGCUAGGCUCACUGUAAUUCAAUUGAAUUACAGAGAUGGUUGGCAGAACCUUGACAACUGCAUAGGAAAGUCUGGAAAGAAUAAAGCAUCUCAUAGAUGCAUUAUUCUUUGACUCAUAAUAUUAAAUUGGUAGCUCAGUUAAGUGGAUUUGUCUAUCACUAAUCUUCAAUUGAUUGAGUUUAGGACCCGAGUAUCAGAGCUGAUUC
Molecule: transfer RNA, 642 nt
Filed under: uncultured Prochlorococcus sp.
Lineage: Bacteria; Bacillati; Cyanobacteriota; Cyanophyceae; Synechococcales; Prochlorococcaceae
Description: partial 16S-23S ribosomal RNA intergenic spacer
Rfam family: tRNA (bases 245-317)
Source: RNAcentral